Labrus mixtus (cuckoo wrasse) is the source of this 470-nucleotide long non-coding RNA. RefSeq lists it as uncharacterized. The record is from RefSeq and is a predicted model, not a curated record. NCBI's taxonomy places the organism in Eukaryota, Metazoa, Chordata, Actinopteri, Labriformes, Labridae. The transcript is spliced from 2 exons.
AUGCUCCUCGUUUGCACAGACGAGUGUCCAGGUUACUUUUCUAAAACCCACCACUAAUGUGAUUAGAAGUAUUGGCCGGGACCUUUCACUAACAAGAAUCAGGUCUUUUUCCUGGGAGACCUUUAUUCUCAUGGGAAUCAGACAUUCAGUCUUCAGAAAAAUGCAAACUUUGUUACUAGAUUUAACAGUAAUUUGGGAAAAAAGACGUGACAAAACUAUUUUUGGUGUUAAAUACAAUCCAAUAAACCACUAUAACUCAUUGUAUUGCAGACGCAGUGUUUCUUUUGUCAGCUGUUUCCUGCAUUGCUGGGAAGCUACAGUGUCGCCCUCGGUUCAGUCUUGCAGAGACACUUAAAUAACAUGGACAUAAAAAGCCCUGCACAUAAUACCAGCUGUUGUAGACGAGUACAUCAGGGAAUGAUUGUGUACUGUACUGUUUUAUAAUCAAUAAAAUUGUUAUGAUUCAUGAA